This 29-nucleotide non-coding RNA is filed under the name Bombyx mori (domestic silkworm). The record is from RNAcentral. Lineage: Eukaryota; Metazoa; Arthropoda; Insecta; Lepidoptera; Bombycidae.
UAACAUAACUGUUGUAAAGCAUUAGCGUA